GACGAACGCUGGCGGCGUGCUUAACACAUGCAAGUCGAACGGUGAAGCGCCUUCCUUUUUGGUGGGUGUGGAUGAGUGGCGAACGGGUGAGUAACACGUGAGUAACCUGCCCCCUUCUUCUGGAUAACCGCAUGAAAGUGUGGCUAAUACGGGAUAUUCUGGGUCUGUCGCAUGAUGGGUCUGGGAAAGAUAUUGUUUCGGUGGGGGAUGGGCUCGCGGCCUAUCAGCUUGUUGGUGGGGUGAUGGCCUACCAAGGCGGUGACGGGUAGCCGGCCUGAGAGGGUGGACGGUCACACUGGGACUGAGACACGGCACAGACUCCUACGGGAGGCAGCAGGGGGGAAUAUUGCACAAUGGGCGCAAGCCUGAUGCAGCGACGCCGCGUGAGGGAUGGAGGCCUGCGGGUUGUGAACCUCUUUCGCCAGUGAAGCAGGCCUGCCUCGUUUGUGGGUGGGUUGACGGUAGCUGGAUAAGAAGCGCCGGCUAACUACGUG
This 494-nucleotide ribosomal RNA is filed under the name uncultured bacterium. RNAcentral describes it as "partial 16S ribosomal RNA". It matches the Rfam family "Bacterial small subunit ribosomal RNA", at positions 28 to 507 of the family's 1533-position model. The record is from RNAcentral.